Non-coding RNA from Podarcis lilfordi (Lilford's wall lizard), 75 nucleotides. The record is from the annotation of a GenBank genome assembly. Lineage: Eukaryota; Metazoa; Chordata; Lepidosauria; Squamata; Lacertidae.
GGAAAGACUGUAGCUCAGUGGUAGAGUACCUGCUUUGCAUUCAUAAAGUCCCUGGGUCAAUUCCUGGCAUCUCCA